This 1343-nucleotide ribosomal RNA is filed under the name uncultured bacterium. RNAcentral's name for it is "16S ribosomal RNA". It matches the Rfam family "Bacterial small subunit ribosomal RNA". The record is from RNAcentral.
UUAGAGUUUGAUCCUGGUUCAGGAUGACCUUUGGCGGCGUGCUUAACACAUGCAAGUCGAACGAACCUUCGGGUUAGUGGCGGACGGGUGAGUAACGCGUGGGAAUCUGCCCUCAGGAGGGGGAUAACGGUUGGAAACGACCGCUAAUACCCCAUAUGCCGAGAGGUGAAACGAAAUUCGCCUGAGGAUGAGCCCGCGUCUGAUUAGCUAGUUGGUGGGGUAAAGGCCUACCAAGGCAUCGAUCAGUAGCUGGUCUGAGAGGAUGAUCAGCCACACUGGGACUGAGACACGGCCCAGACUCCUACGGGAGGCAGCAGUGGGGAAUUUUCCGCAAUGGGCGCAAGCCUGACGGAGCAACGCCGCGUGAGGGAUGAAGGCCUCUGGGCUGUAAACCUCUUUUCUCAAGGAAGAAGAACUGACGGUACUUGAGGAAUAAGCCACGGCUAAUUCCGUGCCAGCAGCCGCGGUAAUACGGGAGUGGCAAGCGUUAUCCGGAAUUAUUGGGCGUAAAGCGUCCGCAGGCGGCCUUGAAAGUCUGUCGUUAAAGCGUGGAGCUUAACUCCAUUUCGGCGGUGGAAACUACAAGGCUUGAGUGUGGUAGGGGCAGAGGGAAUUCCCGGUGUAGCGGUGAAAUGCGUAGAUAUCGGGAAGAACACCAGUGGCGAAGGCGCUCUGCUGGGCCAUAACUGACGCUCAUGGACGAAAGCUAGGGGAGCGAAAGGGAUUAGAUACCCCUGUAGUCCUAGCCGUAAAACGGAUGAACACUAGGUGUCGGGGGAAUCGACCCCCUCGGUGUCGUAGCUAACGCGUUAAGUGUUCCGCCUGGGGAGUACGCACGCAAGUGUGAAACUCAAAGGAAUUGACGGGGGCCCGCACAAGCGGUGGAGUAUGUGGUUUAAUUCGAUGCAACGCGAAGAACCUUACCAGGGUUUGACAUCCUGCGAAUCCCUUGGAAACUUGGGAGUGCCUUCGGGAGCGCAGAGACAGGUGGUGCAUGGCUGUCGUCAGCUCGUGUCGUGAGAUGCUGGGUUAAGUCCCGCAACGAGCGCAACCCACGUCUUUAGUUGCCAGCAUUUAGUUGGGCACUCUAGAGAGACCGCCGGUGAUAAACCGGAGGAAGGUGUGGAUGACGUCAAGUCAUCAUGCCCCUUACAUCCUGGGCUACACACGUACUACAAUGCUACGGACAAAGGGUUGCAAACUCGCGAGAGCUAGCUAAUCCCAUAAACCGUGGCUCAGUUCAGAUCGUAGGCUGCAACUCGCCUACGUGAAGGAGGAAUCGCUAGUAAUCGCAGGUCAGCAUACUGCGGUGAAUACGUUCCCGGGCCUUGCACUCACCGCCC